RNAcentral lists this ribosomal RNA (96 nucleotides) under Proteus vulgaris. The record is from RNAcentral. Lineage: Bacteria; Pseudomonadati; Pseudomonadota; Gammaproteobacteria; Enterobacterales; Morganellaceae.
CUUGGCGGCCAUAGCGCAACGGUCCCACCUGAUCCCAUGCCGAACUCAGAAGUGAAACGUUGUAGCGCCGAUGGUAGUGUGGGGUCUCCCCAUGUG